GAAGCUCGUAUUUACAGGUAUCU
RNAcentral lists this microRNA (23 nucleotides) under Parasteatoda tepidariorum (common house spider). RNAcentral describes it as "pte-miR-993b-2-3p". Its record names the gene pte-miR-993b-2-3p. The record is from miRBase by way of RNAcentral. Lineage: Eukaryota; Metazoa; Arthropoda; Arachnida; Araneae; Theridiidae.